CAAUAGCGUAUAUUUAAGUUGUUGCAGUUAAAAAGCUCGUAGUUGGAUUUCGGAUGGGAUUUGCCGGUCCGUCUUUACGAUGUGCACUGGCCAGUCCUAUCUUGUUGUCGGGGACUAGCUCCUUGGAUUCACUUCCUGGGACUAGGAGCUGACGAGGUUACUUUGAGUAAAUUAGAGUGUUCAAAGCAAGCCUACGCUCUGAAUACAUUAGCAUGGAAUAACACGAUAGGACUCUGGCUUAUCUUGUUGGUCUGUGAGACCAGAGUAAUGAUUAAGAGGGACAGUCGGGGACAUUCGUAUUUCAUUGUCAGAGGUGAAAUUCUUGGAUUUAUGAAAGACGAACUUCUGCGAAAGCAUUUGUCAAGGAUGUUUUCAUUAA
RNAcentral lists this ribosomal RNA (379 nucleotides) under uncultured eukaryote. Its description in RNAcentral is "partial 18S ribosomal RNA". It matches the Rfam family "Eukaryotic small subunit ribosomal RNA", at positions 592 to 976 of the family's 1831-position model. The record is from RNAcentral.